GUUCAGCUAACGAGUUCCGAAUAGGACGAAACGCGUGUCUUAGAU
This 45-nucleotide non-coding RNA is filed under the name Schistosoma mansoni. Lineage: Eukaryota; Metazoa; Platyhelminthes; Trematoda; Strigeidida; Schistosomatidae. The record is from RNAcentral.